RNAcentral lists this ribosomal RNA (445 nucleotides) under uncultured bacterium. Its description in RNAcentral is "bacterial SSU rRNA". It matches the Rfam family "Bacterial small subunit ribosomal RNA", at positions 331 to 792 of the family's 1533-position model. The record is from RNAcentral.
CCAGACUCCUACGGGAGGCAGCAGUGGGGAAUAUUGCACAAUGGGGGGAACCCUGAUGCAGCGACGCCGCGUGGGUGACGAAGUAUUUCGGUAUGUAAAGCCCUAUCAGCAGGGAAGAAGAUGACAGUACCUGACUAAGAAGCCCCGGCUAACUACGUGCCAGCAGCCGCGGUAAUACGUAGGGGGCAAGCGUUAUCCGGAUUUACUGGGUGUAAAGGGAGCGUAGGUGGCAUGGCAAGCCAGAAGUGAAAACCCGGGGCUUAACCCCGUGGAUUGCUUUUGGAACUGUCAGGCUGGAGUGCAGGAGGGGCAGGCGGAAUUCCUGGUGUAGCGGUGAAAUGCGUAGAUAUCAGGAGGAACACCGGUGGCGAAGGCGGCCUGCUGGACUGUAACUGACACUGAGGCUCGAAAGCGUGGGGAGCAAACAGGAUUAGAUACCCCAGUA